This is a non-coding RNA of Paramuricea clavata, 224 nucleotides long. NCBI's taxonomy places the organism in Eukaryota, Metazoa, Cnidaria, Anthozoa, Malacalcyonacea, Plexauridae. The record is from the annotation of a GenBank genome assembly.
CUCACAUGUGAAAAUUAUCGCUUUUCAAUUAUCGCUUUUCUGUAAAAAUUAUCCUUUUCAAAGACUGUCCUUUAUAUAAUAAACAGAAAAAUACAUGAGUGCUUGUAAAUACCAGAUUUAUUUCUCGUGUUGCAUGAACAUUAUAUCUCACUCGUUCGCUGCGCUCACUCGUGAGAUAUCAUGUUCAACACUCGAAAUAAAUCUGGCCAUGGUAUUUCCGCGCA